UCAGUUUGCCCCACUUGUCUGCCUUGAACUUGAGGAUCAUAAAAGACACUGUCUCCAGAUACUCAAUUCUGGGAUCCGGCAUGAUUGUCGUAACCACCUUUCCUUACACCACAGACCUCUGUAAACAAACAGGUGCCCGCUGGUUUCUGGAGUCCCAGAACCCCACAAAUCUCCAUCUUAGCCAAGCUGGUGAAAGGGGUUCAUUGGCCUUUGUUUUUAAUCUGUGGUCGGGCUGUUGACAAGAGAGGGGCACCUGUUCCUGCCCUGGUGUGGGGUCAUCAGUUGCUCACCAGAUCCACACAAACGUGUGCUUCUGUAGAGAGCUGGAGAGCCCUUUCCCAACGAUGUAAGGAAAUGGCUUCUGCUCCUCAAGAGGCUCCAACUGCCACAGAACUUCUGGCGUGUCAAGAUCUUGGAUAGGAAAUUCCGUGCACUCAUCCGGGGCUGAAUGUUGUUGGAAGCCUAUAAUGAGGACCAGCGACUGCCCGCUAUGCAUUUGCCCACUGCACCGCCACUGCC
Peromyscus eremicus (cactus mouse) is the source of this 519-nucleotide long non-coding RNA. RefSeq lists it as uncharacterized. The record is from RefSeq and is a predicted model, not a curated record. The transcript is spliced from 3 exons. Lineage: Eukaryota; Metazoa; Chordata; Mammalia; Rodentia; Cricetidae.